Molecule: ribosomal RNA, 121 nt
Filed under: Clostridium perfringens
Lineage: Bacteria; Bacillati; Bacillota; Clostridia; Eubacteriales; Clostridiaceae
Source: RNAcentral
UCUGGUGAUGAUGCUCUUUAGGGUAACACCCGUUUUCCAUUCCGAACACGAAGGUUAUUAGCCUAUUGAGGCCGAUGGUACUGCACGGGAGACUGUGUGGGAGAGUAGGUGGUUGCCAGGU